This 440-nucleotide ribosomal RNA is filed under the name uncultured bacterium. RNAcentral's name for it is "partial 16S ribosomal RNA". It matches the Rfam family "Bacterial small subunit ribosomal RNA", at positions 338 to 794 of the family's 1533-position model. The record is from RNAcentral.
CCUACGGGUGGCAGCAGUGAGGAAUCUUCCGCAAUGGGCGAAAGCCUGACGGAGCAACGCCGCGUGGGUGAUGAAGGCCUUCGGGUUGUAAAGCCCUGUCAUGGGGGAAGAGAAAGGACGGUACCCCAAGAGGAAGCCUCGGCUAACUACGUGCCAGCAGCCGCGGUAAAACGUAGGGGGCAAGCGUUGUCCGGAAUUACUGGGCGUAAAGAGCGCGUAGGCGGGAUUUUAAGUCUUUGUUGAAAGCCCACCGCUAAACGGGGGAAUGGGCAAAGAUACUGGAGUUCUAGAGACCCAGAGAGGGAAAUGGAAUUUCCGGUGUAGCGGUAAAAUGCGUAGAUAUCGGGAGGAACACCAGUGGCGAAGGCGGUUUCCUGGCUGGGAGCUGACGCUGAGGCGCGAAAGCAAGGGGAGCGAACGGGAUUAGAUACCCCUGUAGU